UACGUAGGGGGCUAGCGUUGUCCGGAAUCAUUGGGCGUAAAGCGCGUGUAGGCGGCCCGAUUAGUCCGCUGUGAAAGUCCAGGGCUCAACCCUGGGAUGCCGGUGGAUACUGUCGGGCUCGAGUCCGGAAGAGGCGAGUGGAAUUCCUGGUGUAGCGGUGAAAUGCGCAGAUAUCAGGAGGAACACCAAUGGCGAAGGCAGCUCGCUGGGACGUGACUGACGCUGAGACGCGAAAGCGUGGGGAGCAAACAGG
RNAcentral lists this ribosomal RNA (253 nucleotides) under uncultured bacterium. Its description in RNAcentral is "partial 16S ribosomal RNA". It matches the Rfam family "Bacterial small subunit ribosomal RNA", at positions 524 to 776 of the family's 1533-position model. The record is from RNAcentral.